UGGAACUCCGAUGACAUCUGAGGCUGCAGAAAUUAUGGUAUGGUCGGGUUAGAUUUCAAGGAUCUGGUGUUAACACGACCCAAUAUUUUGGAUCCACCUCGCACUAAUACAUGCCUUCCAGGAGUCAAAGUCAAGCUGAAGUUCAGAAGCUAAAAGAUCAGAUAGUUCAGAUACAAGCUAGCACAGAUGAGCAAAUUUCUCAACUUAGAGCGAAGGCAGCAGCGAGGGAGGCGGAGGCAGCAGAGAGGGAGGCGGAGCAGAACAGAAAAUACAAUGAACUCCAGCUAUAGCUUCAGUCUAUGAUGACUAUGUUCCAGCAAUUUCAAAAUCCGCUAUCUUAGACAUUUGUUCUCUUGUAACUUUUAACAUUAUUGUAAGAAUAUUUUGAAUAUUCAUUUACAAUUUAUAUAAUAUAUUUCUCGUAUAA
Gossypium arboreum is the source of this 427-nucleotide long non-coding RNA. RefSeq lists it as uncharacterized. The transcript is spliced from 2 exons. NCBI's taxonomy places the organism in Eukaryota, Viridiplantae, Streptophyta, Magnoliopsida, Malvales, Malvaceae. The record is from RefSeq and is a predicted model, not a curated record.